AGUCGAACGGCAGCACGGACUUCGGUCUGGUGGCGAGUGGCGAACGGGUGAGUAAUGUAUCGGAACGUGCCUAGUGUAGGGAUAACUACGCGAAAGCGUAGCCAAUACCGCAUACGCCCUUCGGGGGAAAGCGGGGACCUUCGCCUCGCACUAUUAGAGCGGCCGAUAUCGGAUUACUGGUUGGUGGGUAACGGCUCACCAAGGUGACGCGAUCCGUAGCUGGUUUGAGAGGACGACCAGCCACACCGGGACUGGAGACACGGCCCAGACUGCCGGAGGCAGCAGUGGGGAAUUUUGAAUGGGGAAACCCUGAUCCAGCCAUCCUGCGUGUGGUGCGAUGAAGGCCUUCGGUUGAAAAGCACUUUUGGCAGGAAAGAAACGGCACGAUAACACCUCGUGCAACUGACGGUACCUGCAGACUAAGCACUCGGCUAACUACGUGCCAGCAGCCGGGUAAUACGUAGGGUGCAAGCGUUAAUCGGAAUUACUGGGCGUAGCGUGCGCAGGCGGUUCGGAAAGAAAGAUGUGAAAUCCCAGAGCUUAACUUUUUGGAACUGCAUUUUUAACUACCGAGCUAGAGUGUGUCAGAGGGAGGUGGAAUUCGCGUGUGUAGCAGUGAAAUGCGUAGAUAAGGUGAGGAACACCGAUGGCGAAGGCAUUCUGGAUAACACUGACGCUCAUGCACGAAAGCGUGGGGAGCAAACAGGAUUAGAUACCCUGGUAGUCCACGCCCUAAACGAUGUCAACUAGCUGUUGGGGCCUUCGGCUCAUGGUAGCGCAGCCACCUGCGUGAAGUUGACCGCCUGGGGAGUACGGUCGCAAGAUUAAAACUCAAAGAAUUGACGGGACCCGCACAAGCGGUGGAUGAUGUGGAUUAAUUCGAUGAAUGCUGAAAACCUUGUCACUCCUUGACAUGUCUGGAAUCCCGAAGAGAUUUGGGAGUGCUCGCAAGAGAACCGGAACACAGGUGCUGCAUGGCUGUCGUCAGCUCGUGUCGUGAGAUGUUGGUUGUCCCGGGCAACGAGCGCAACUCUUGUCAUUAGUUGCUACGAAAGUGGCACUGAAGAUUGCCGGUGACAAAACUGGAGGAAGGUGGGGAUGAUUAAGUCCUACGUAUUCUUAUGGGUAGGGCUUUCUCACACGUCAUACAAUGGUCGGGACAGAGGGUCGCCAACCCGCGAGGGGGGAGCCAAUCCCAGAAACCUCGACUAACUGAUCGCAGUCUGCAACCUGACUGCGUGAAGUCGGAAUCGCUAGUAAUCGCGGAUCAGCAUGUCGCAGUGAAUACGUUCCUCGGGUCUUGUACACACCGCCCGUCACACCAUGGGAGUGGGUUUUACCAGAAGUAGUUAGCCUUAACCGUAAGGAGUGGCGAUUACCACGGUAGGGAUUCAUGACUGGGGUGAAGCUCGCAUCAGCGUAG
RNAcentral lists this ribosomal RNA (1423 nucleotides) under uncultured Bordetella sp. RNAcentral's name for it is "partial 16S-23S ribosomal RNA intergenic spacer". It matches the Rfam family "Bacterial small subunit ribosomal RNA". The record is from RNAcentral. Lineage: Bacteria; Pseudomonadati; Pseudomonadota; Betaproteobacteria; Burkholderiales; Alcaligenaceae.